Molecule: ribosomal RNA, 253 nt
Filed under: uncultured bacterium
Lineage: Bacteria
Description: partial 16S ribosomal RNA
Rfam family: Bacterial small subunit ribosomal RNA
Source: RNAcentral
UACGUAGGGUGCGAGCGUUAAUCGGAAUUACUGGGCGUAAAGCGUGCGCAGGCGGUUUUGUAAGCCAGAUGUGAAAUCCCCGGGCUUAACCUGGGAAUGGCAUUUGGGACUGCAAGGCUUGAGUGCGGCAGAGGAGACUGGAAUUCCUGGUGUAGCAGUGAAAUGCGUAGAUAUCAGGAGGAACACCAAUUGCGAAGGCAGCUCGCUGGGACGUUACUGACGCUGAGACGCGAAAGCGUGGGGAGCAAACAGG